This 208-nucleotide long non-coding RNA is filed under the name Musa acuminata (dwarf banana). RNAcentral's name for it is "long non-coding RNA (MACU_LNC006595)". The record is from RNAcentral. Lineage: Eukaryota; Viridiplantae; Streptophyta; Magnoliopsida; Zingiberales; Musaceae.
CACGGGUAGCCCUUUCCUACUCGAGCCCUCUCACCCUGCCCAAGUGCUAGGUCGGCUCUGAAUUUCAUAUCAAACAGAUAGAAUGUGAAGUGGGAUUCCAAACAUAAUAUGGUCCAUCCAUUUCUGAAUGACCACCAAACAUAAUCUAGAGCAUCGCGGGCUCUAAGCACAUACCCUUUACCAUUUUUGGCAAAGGUCCAAAUAAUCC